This 356-nucleotide ribosomal RNA is filed under the name uncultured Sphingobacteriales bacterium. RNAcentral's name for it is "bacterial SSU rRNA". It matches the Rfam family "Bacterial small subunit ribosomal RNA", at positions 1027 to 1382 of the family's 1533-position model. The record is from RNAcentral. Lineage: Bacteria; Pseudomonadati; Bacteroidota; Sphingobacteriia; Sphingobacteriales.
CUUUCUGCAAGGUGCUGCAUGGUUGUCGUCAGCUCGUGCCGUGAGGUGUCGGGUUAAGUCCCAUAACGAGCGCAACCCUUAUCGUUAGUUGCCAGCUGGUAAAGCAGGGGACUCUAGCGAAACUGCCACCGUAAGGUGAGAGGAAGUGGGGAUGACGUCAAAUCAGCACGGCCCUUAUGGUCCAGGGCUACACACGUGUUACAAUGGCCGGCACAGAGGGCAGCUACCUGGUGACAGGAUGCUAAUCUCGAAAACCGGUCUCAGUUCGGAUCGAAGUCUGCAACUCGACUUCGUGAAGCUGGAUUCGCUAGUAAUCGCGCAUCAGCCAUGGCGCGGUGAAUACGUUCCCGGGCCUU